Molecule: long non-coding RNA, 4758 nt
Filed under: Panax ginseng (ginseng)
Lineage: Eukaryota; Viridiplantae; Streptophyta; Magnoliopsida; Apiales; Araliaceae
Description: long non-coding RNA (PGIN_LNC012757)
Source: RNAcentral
ACUCACCAUCCAACGUAUUUCUGCUUGAAUUACGCAUUGAUUGGACAGAAAAUCUGAAUUACUAGUUCAGAACCAGCAGAGGUCGGUCAUAGGCUACACCGUCUGUGUUAACGUGCAAGUGCCUGUUGUGUCAAAAGAUAAAAACAAAUAAUUUCAUUUGAUUUUCAAAUCUCACAAUCUUCAAACAAAAUUCCAGCAAAAAUGAGCUCCAUAAACAAACAAUAUGGCACAUGGGCGAGGUUACAUUACAUGUUAAACAAGUGGAAAAACAGUUGCUACUAUCCUAGAAACAUAAUUUUAAGCAUUUACUGUAAUAUGAAAUUUAGAAUAUGUACACCAUAUUUAUCUUCCUGAAAAUAACAUCACUUCUGACUUCACCGGGUGUGUAUGCAUACAACUUCAAACUUACCACUCAAUUCAAACUAAUAAUACCCUCUUACUCUAGAAAUACCACACUAACAGCUAUGCUAUUAGCCUAUUACACAAGGAAACCACCAUCACUCCAUAACAACAAUGCUACGUAAAAAAGACUCGCAUACACACACAUGCAUACUGUGGACCCCCACCUGACAUGUGAAUCCCACAAAUAUGCAUGUGUAUGCGAACAUUAUGUGAGCCACCAUUAUGUUGAAAUAGUAGCAUUAUUUCAACAUAAAGGAUCACUGGGUCCAUGUCAUCCACUGUUGAUUCACCACGAUCCACAUUUUGGUUGCAGACAUUGUUAAUGACCGUGCUAACUUCAAAAAUGUCAAGCCUCCUGUCCUAUUGUUAAGUGGUGCAUAUCUUGAUCGCUGUAACAAAUAUCAUACAUUUAGCACAAUCAAAUACUUGGAAUUAACUUAUAUAUGAACAUGCACUAAAGCAAACUCAAAGAAUAUAGUAGAGCAAUGGCUUGAAUGGAAUGAGUGAUCAUCAUGUGAGGGCAUUACAGGCAGCAUGAAUAUAUUGUGUUCAACUGCAAAGCAGAUCCCAUAAUUUACUUUUGCACGUUGUGGUCAGGCAUCAGGAAAAAUUUAUGUUUACAGAGCCUCAGUACUUGUGGUGUUAUUGAAGUAAACCUAAUCAAGUAUAAGAUUGAAAAACUGAAGCAAUAUUCAUAAAGGCUCAGUAUCAACUAUCAAACUUAGAAAUUCUUUCUGAGAUUAUAACAUACACCUUAAAUGGUGAUUUCAAUCAAUCUAAGGCAAUGAUGGUUUAAUAAGAUGGUGAACUGAAGUAAGAGCUAUAUUUUGUGUAGACGGUAGACCGGCAAUGUGGUUUAUCAGAUACACACUUUUAGAAUAAAGAUUAAUUAAAUAAAUACAAUAACAAAUUGGUGGUGGAGAUUUGAGGGGAUGAUGACGUGGAUUAGAAAGGACCAAUGGAAUAUUAGAUUAUUUUUUUUUGGGUUGUGUUACAUAGCGCUGAAUUUGGACGAUUGUUUAGUAAUUAAUUAGUUUUGAUUUUAAAAGAAUACGAUUUGUUUCUGGAGAGAGUAAAAACUUCAGGGAGAGAAAGUGUAAAAUAAUUUAGAGAGAGAAUGUAUAAAAAAAUUAUUGAGAGAAGUCAAAAAGAACAUAAGAAAUUAAUAUAUUAAAUAAUUUAUUUUAUUGGGACAUAAAUAAUAAGCUUCAAAUUUGAAAAAUGAGCUGACUUAUAUUGGAACCAUAACAAUUUGGUUCUAACCCAUAUAGCUAAUAUUAAAAAUAAGUAAUAUGGUUUUAGUUUUUAAUGGAACCAUAAUCAUAUUCUAUAACUCAUAACCAAACUAAAUCCAUUUUUUGUCAAGUCUAAUUUUGUGUAAUCCUUUCUCAUAAGUAACUAAAAGAGGGAUUGAAGUCAGUCUGGACACAUGAUCUUAAUCAUCCACAAGAUUUAGGUUGUGUUUAUUAAAAUUGAAUGUUAAAAUAUGAAGAGUUAAGACUUCAGAAUAAUUUAGAGCAUCUGUUUAAAAUUGUAUCUGAAUGAAGAAAUGUUGUUUGAUAACUAAUUUUUUCAAAUUGUCUAAAUAAUAGUAUUUUACCAUUUUAACCCUCUGAUCCUAAAAAAACGAGAGACUAUCGUUCAUCUCCAUUUUUUUCAACUUUUACAACCCAUUUUUCUAGACUGAUCCACUCUUGUUGUUUAAGCUUUUCUACUUCUUCUUUUGAGAUCAGAACUAUAAUGAAACAAAAAUCCUCAUGGCAACUAUUUUCCUUGUCUGGAUGCUUUGUUCUUCACAUAAUGUUCGAAUCUCCUCUUUGUCUCUAGGAUCCAUUGUGAAAGUAAUUAUGCAAUUCUCCAAAUUAUUUACAAAGCGAGACUUUUUUUUUCAUGAAUUUGUUCAACAACGAAAUGGGUAUGAGAUUUGGUGGGUUUUUCUUCAUGAAAAUGGUCAAAAACGAAUUGGAUCUCUGUAGUGGGUGUUAAUGAUUCUUGGGAUCUAAAAUUAUAGAGUGAUAGAUUUGAGGCGUUCAAGAACAAAAUUUGAUUUAGUUAAUUUGGGCUAUUGUGGGUCAUUUUGAUGAGAUUCUUGCUCUUGUUUUCCUUUAUUUUGUUGUUUUUUUUAUUUGAUAAUCUUGAUCUGAAAAAGAUAGUGCGUAUCAUCAAAUUUAGAAGAACAAACAGAAUAGUGGAAGUAAACCAACUGUUUAUGGCUGCCCAAAUCGAAGGAUUUGAUGCAAGAGGGAUUCUUUGCUUUGUUCUUUAAUUUGUGUAUUUUAUUAGAGGGAUACAAGAGGAAUUUUGUAAUAUUGAAAAUGUUAUUUUGGUCCAAAAAAAGACAACUUUCAUUCAAAUUUUACUCUAAAUAGUUUAGAUUUAAUUUUGUAUCUUAACGAUUUAGAGGCAUUCAGAGGAAAAAAAAAGUUCACCAAACAACUUCAUGCCUCUUACCGAAUAAGAGGUGGGUUGUUAAGAUGCAUUAAAAUUCAAUUAAACACCAACCAUUGAACAUAUCCUGUUCAUAAAAGGUUGUUAAUUGUGUGGAAGCAUGAUUAAGUUAAAAAGAAUCCAAUGUGGAUAUUAUGUUUAACUCUUCUGCCAAUAACUUAAUUCUUCAUAUUUCUCCACAUUCUUGAGAAUAUAUGGUAAAAUUGGAGAAGAUGCCAGAGAAAUUUAGUUUUAUAGGACGUUUUACUAGUUCUUAGAAUCAUGUAGGCCAUUAUUUAUGUUACUCUUCUUAUCUAUUUAUGCCAUGCAUGUAUCUAAACUAGAAUUCUUAUUCUCUUCAUAUAUAGCAAAGAAAAUAAAAUUUUAAACUUUUCUUUUAUUCAAGUGGUUAGUGAAAGUUACAAUGGGAUGUUAAUUAUGAGGCAGCUAAUAAAUUGUAGUCCACAAUUCUUCUUUUUAUGUUUACAGGCAGAUUUACUCACCCCAAUUUCUUCUCCUUAUAUCUACCUAAACAAGAAUUCUUCUUAUUUUCCCGAAGUAUCAAAAAAAUUCUCUUUUUUAUUCAGAUUUAUAUAUAAAUUAUGUUCUGUAACAUUUGUAAUGAAUAUAUAUAUAUAUAUAUAUAUAUUCUUACAAUUGACAUAUAUUGCACAAGUAUCGUGUGUGCUCAAAAAACAAGUUAGACUCAAAAGUCAAUCAAGACAUGUUCAGAAUUAAACUUGAGCAUGUAAAAAGGCUGACAAAUAUUUCAAACCCAAAUGCAUAAACUAUGAUGUAAACGCAAUAAUAAAUGUCAUAGUAUCAACAGAAAAAUCAUACCUUCAUUGAGUAGCCAAGAGUCAAAGACAAGUAAGCUUAGGAUGUGCGCUAAUAGAUAGAGAUGAUCAUGGCACCUAACAGUACCAACAUCCACUACUAUGUCAAGCACAUCCCUAAGGUGGGUGUCAAAGAAUUACUCUAUGGAGUAUGGACCUCAAGUGGUAAAAUACAGCUCCUUGACCUGCCAUUUGGGCACCAUUAUUAAGUGGAACUACUGAUCAUGGCAGCACACUAUACAAAAACUGUAUGACCAUAAGGUGGAAUUUUUUUCAGAUUCAUAAUUAUCUAAACAAUUCAAAGAAGAAACUACAAAAUAUAAUUCGGAUAAUAAGAAAAUCAACAACAAAAAAUAUUUUAUUUGAGUAAUAUCUGUAGACAUUGUGAGGGCAUUACAGGCAGCAAAAACACGAGUAAGCUGAAGCUGCAAAGCGGAUCCCCCAUAACUUAAUUUUGCACUACAUUGAGAUCAGGCAUCUGGAAACUUAGUAGUUACAAAGCCUCAGUACUCGUGCAAUAAUACACUUAUUUAAUAAUCUUUAUGAAACUAUGGAAGGAGGGAAAACACGAUUCAGACAAGGUAAAUGUCCAAUUUUUUUUCAUUUUCUUAAAAAAUAAAAAAUAAAAAAUAAAUAAAAGUUUAAAAAAUUGGCUCUCAAAUAGGACAUUAAUUGUGAGAAGAGGACUCACAUAUCACGUAAUUGCAAUCACCAUUCCAGAAACUAGGAGGCAAACAGAAAUUCUACAAUUUGAAGUAGAAAUAGAGCCUACUAAUUUUUCUUUUCCAACAACAAAAAAAAAAAACUUUUGGAUUUGUAGAUUUAUGUCUAAGCUUCAAGAAGUGCAUGAGCAAUCAUUUGUAGAUAACAGCCAAACAUAACACACUUACAUCCAAGCUUCAAACAUAUAUAGUUACCUGCUUUCAGAAUCGAGCUUGAUGCCAUUGCCAUGGUGAGCUCAACUCACAGCGGGAGUUAAAUGUAAGGAUAGUUUUUAGUAUUUAUUGACGAACGAACAUAUACUGUUCCCGACUAAAAUUAGGGCUCUACUGCAGAACGAAAAACCUAAAAAUUGCCCUGUACAGUCAAUUUU